UGGACAAUGGGCGCAAGCCUGAUCCAGCCAUGCCGCGUGAGUGAAGAAGGCCUUCGGGUUGUAAAGCUCUUUUGUCGGGAAGGAAGGGGUNNUUUUUAAUACCUUGGACUAAUGACGGUACCGNAAGAAUAAGCACCGGCUAACUACGUGCCAGCAGCCGCGGUAAUACGUAGGGUGCAAGCGUUAAUCGGAAUUACUGGGCGUAAAGCGCGCGCAGGCGGUUNUUUAAGUCAGAUGUGAAAUCCCCGGGCUCAACCUGGGAACUGCAUUUGAUACUGCNUGGCUAGAGUACGGUAGAGGGGGGAUGGAAUUCCNCGUGUAGCGGUGAAAUGCGUAGAUAUG
RNAcentral lists this ribosomal RNA (342 nucleotides) under beta proteobacterium SCGC AAA027-G05. RNAcentral's name for it is "bacterial SSU rRNA". It matches the Rfam family "Bacterial small subunit ribosomal RNA", at positions 365 to 698 of the family's 1533-position model. Lineage: Bacteria; Pseudomonadati; Pseudomonadota; Betaproteobacteria. The record is from RNAcentral.